GAUGAAGAACGCAGCGAAAUGCGAUAAGUAAUGUGAAUUGCAGAAUUCAGUGAAUCAUCGAAUCUUUGAACGCACAUUGCGCCCCUUGGUAUUCCGAGGGGCAUGCCUGUUCGAGCGUCAUAUUAACCACUCCCGCUUGCGGUGUCUUGGGCUUCGCCUCCGGGCGGGCCUUAAAAUCAGUGGCGGUGCCGUCGGGCUCUACGCGUAGUAAAUUUUCUCGCGAUAGGGUCCCGGUGGAUGCUUGCCAACAACCCCCAACUUCUUAAGGUUGACCUCGGAUCAGGUAGGGAUACCCGCUGAACUUAAGCAUAUCAAUAAGCGGAGGA
Molecule: unclassified non-coding RNA, 326 nt
Filed under: soil metagenome
Description: partial contains 5.8S ribosomal RNA, internal transcribed spacer 2, and large subunit ribosomal RNA
Rfam family: 5.8S ribosomal RNA (bases 1-120)
Source: RNAcentral